Molecule: ribosomal RNA, 310 nt
Filed under: uncultured diatom
Lineage: Eukaryota; Bacillariophyta
Description: LSU rRNA
Rfam family: Eukaryotic large subunit ribosomal RNA
Source: RNAcentral
GGAAGCGAAGGAAACCAGUGUUUGUUGGUUCAUAUUUCCCUAGCCACUUGUGGUUUGGGCGCUGUGAACUUGCGUGAGUUUGGGUUGGUUGAAUCUUUUGGAAGAGCGCAGACAGAGUUGAUGUUUGUUGCUAGCACUGGAUUUGACUGAUGCAGACGAAAUGGUUUUCUUUACCCCGUCUUGAAACACGGACCAAGGAGUCUAACAUAUGUGCGAGUACAGGGGUGUCAAACCCCGGUGCGUAAUGAAAGUGACAGUGGUUGGAUAUUUUGCACAAUCCGCCGGCCUCAAUCCUUCGGGAGAACGGUCU